GCUUAUUUUAUGCACAGACCCCCCUAGGGGGUAUCCAUUCAACACAACACAAUGAGUUCCAUGGAGUUGCUUGGUUUAGUCCAACAAAUUCAAACUUCGUGCCCAAACCAAGCAACAACCAAUCAGCUGAAAGAGCGAGAACCAAAAGGAAAGGAGUUUUGCCGACCCAAUCAGAAGAAAGGGCACAAAACCCGGUUGCACCAAUCGGCACCCAAUCUGGAGGAAGGGUGCGAAGCCCAGUUUGAACGGGCGCUCCUUCUCUAAAUGGUAGACUGCGCCCUGCAGCGACCAAUCAGCGCUCACUCGUGCUGAACAAUCAGGAGAAUGGCGCAAACCCAGUUUGAAUGGGCACUUCUUCUCCAUUGGUUGGCACAAACUUCCAUGUGGCCAGCGGGACUCUGCGGCCGUGAGACUGACUCACAGCUCCAGAGAUUCUCUGGUGGCGUGUGUCCCUCUCUCCGGUGGAUAUCCCCACGCAGAUAUUCACUGGAGUGAGCUCUCUCCUGGGCAGCUAUGAG
Pelobates cultripes (western spadefoot toad) is the source of this 518-nucleotide non-coding RNA. Lineage: Eukaryota; Metazoa; Chordata; Amphibia; Anura; Pelobatidae. The record is from the annotation of a GenBank genome assembly.